ACCAGACUCCUACGGGAGGCAGCAGUGGGGAAUAUUGCACAAUGGGGGAAACCCUGAUGCAGCGACGCCGCGUGAGUGAAGAAGUAUUUCGGUAUGUAAAGCUCUAUCAGCAGGGAAGAAAAUGACGGUACCUGAUUAAGAAGCCCCGGCUAACUACGUGCCAGCAGCCGCGGUAAUACGUAGGGGGCAAGCGUUAUCCGGAUUUACUGGGUGUAAAGGGAGCGUAGACGGCAGCACAAGUCUGGAGUGAAAUGCCGGGGCUUAACCCCGGAACUGCUUUGGAAACUGUGCAGCUAGAGUGCAGGAGAGGUAAGUGGAAUUCCUAGUGUAGCGGUGAAAUGCGUAGAUAUUAGGAGGAACACCAGUGGCGAAGGCGGCUUACUGGACUGUAACUGACGUUGAGGCUCGAAAGCGUGGGGAGCAAACAGGA
RNAcentral lists this ribosomal RNA (430 nucleotides) under uncultured bacterium. Its description in RNAcentral is "bacterial SSU rRNA". It matches the Rfam family "Bacterial small subunit ribosomal RNA", at positions 330 to 777 of the family's 1533-position model. The record is from RNAcentral.